UUCGCAAUGCCCGAAAGGGUGACGAUGCGACGCCGCGUGAGCGAAGAAGGCCCUAGGGUUGUAAAGCUCUGUCGAGGGUUAUGAAAUAUAGAUGGGUUAAUACCCCAUUUAUUUAACAAAAGCCCAAAAGGAAGCCACGGCUAACUCUGUGCCAGCAGCCGCGGUAAUACAGAGGUGGCGAGCGUUGUUCGGUAUUAUUGGGCGUAAAGAGCACGUAGGUGGUUUUGUAAGUCAGGUGUGAAAGCCUUCUGUUCAAAGGAAGAACGGCAUCUGAAACUGCAGAUCUUGAGUGUAGGAGGGGAGAGUGGAACUUCUGGUGGAGCGGUGAAAUGCGUAGAUAUCAGAAGGAACGUCGGCGGCGAAAGCGACUCUCUGGCCUAUUACUGACACUGAGGUGCGAAAGUUAGGGGAGCAAACGGGAUUAGAUACCCCGGUAGUCCUAACCGUAAACGAUGGGCACUAAGUAGAGGGGUUUU
This 476-nucleotide ribosomal RNA is filed under the name Candidatus Scalindua wagneri. RNAcentral's name for it is "bacterial SSU rRNA". It matches the Rfam family "Bacterial small subunit ribosomal RNA", at positions 365 to 832 of the family's 1533-position model. Lineage: Bacteria; Pseudomonadati; Planctomycetota; Candidatus Brocadiia; Candidatus Brocadiales; Candidatus Scalinduaceae. The record is from RNAcentral.